RNAcentral lists this ribosomal RNA (1522 nucleotides) under metagenome. RNAcentral describes it as "bacterial SSU rRNA". It matches the Rfam family "Bacterial small subunit ribosomal RNA". The record is from RNAcentral.
AGAGUUUGAUCAUGGCUCAGAUUGAACGCUGGCGGCAGGCCUAACACAUGCAAGUCGAACGGUAACAGGAAGAAGCUUGCUUCUUUGCUGACGAGUGGCGGACGGGUGAGUAAUGUCUGGGAAACUGCCUGAUGGAGGGGGAUAACUACUGGAAACGGUAGCUAAUACCGCAUAACGUCGCAAGACCAAAGAGGGGGACCUUCGGGCCUCUUGCCAUCGGAUGUGCCCAGAUGGGAUUAGCUAGUAGGUGGGGUAACGGCUCACCUAGGCGACGAUCCCUAGCUGGUCUGAGAGGAUGACCAGCCACACUGGAACUGAGACACGGUCCAGACUCCUACGGGAGGCAGCAGUGGGGAAUAUUGCACAAUGGGCGCAAGCCUGAUGCAGCCAUGCCGCGUGUAUGAAGAAGGCCUUCGGGUUGUAAAGUACUUUCAGCGGGGAGGAAGGGAGUAAAGUUAAUACCUUUGCUCAUUGACGUUACCCGCAGAAGAAGCACCGGCUAACUCCGUGCCAGCAGCCGCGGUAAUACGUAGGGUGCAAGCGUUAAUCGGAAUUACUGGGCGUAAAGCGCACGCAGGCGGUUUGUUAAGUCAGAUGUGAAAUCCCCGGGCUCAACCUGGGAACUGCAUCUGAUACUGGCAAGCUUGAGUCUCGUAGAGGGGGGUAGAAUUCCAGGUGUAGCGGUGAAAUGCGUAGAGAUCUGGAGGAAUACCGGUGGCGAAGGCGGCCCCCUGGACGAAGACUGACGCUCAGGUGCGAAAGCGUGGGGAGCAAACAGGAUUAGAUACCCUGGUAGUCCACGCCGUAAACGAUGUCGACUCGGAGGUUGUGCCCUUGAGGCGUGGCUUCCGGAGCUAACGCGUUAAGUCGACCGCCUGGGGAGUACGGCCGCAAGGUUAAAACUCAGAUGAAUUGACGGGGGCCCGCACAAGCGGUGGAGCAUGUGGUUUAAUUCGAUGCAACGCGAAGAACCUUACCUGGUCUUGACAUCCACAGAACUUUCCAGAGAUGGAUUGGUGCCUUCGGGAACUGUGAGACAGGUGCUGCAUGGCUGUCGUCAGCUCGUGUUGUGAAAUGUUGGGUUAAGUCCCGCAACGAGCGCAACCCUUAUCUUUUGUUGCCAGCGGUCCGGCCGGGAACUCAAAGGAGACUGCCAGUGAUAAACUGGAGGAAGGUGGGGAUGACGUCAAGUCAUCAUGGCCCUUACGACCAGGGCUACACACGUGCUACAAUGGCGCAUACAAAGAGAAGCGACCUCGCGAGAGCAAGCGGACCUCAUAAAGUGCGUCGUAGUCCGGAUUGGAGUCUGCAACUCGACUCCAUGAAGUCGGAAUCGCUAGUAAUCGUGGAUCAGAAUGCCACGGUGAAUACGUUCCCGGGCCUUGUACACACCGCCCGUCACACCAUGGGAGUGGGUUGCAAAAGAAGUAGGUAGCUUAACCUUCGGGAGGGCGCUUACCACUUUGUGAUUCAUGACUGGGGUGAAGUCGGAACAAGGUAACCGUGGGGGUACCUGCGGUUG